UACGGAGGGGGCUAGCGUUGUUCGGAAUUACUGGGCGUAAAGCGUACGUAGGCGGUGACUCAAGUCAGAGGUGAAAGCCCGGAGCUCAACUCCGGAAUAGCCUUUGAUACUGAGGGUCUUGAGUAUGGGAGAGGUAAGUGGAAUUCCGAGUGUAGAGGUGAAAUGCGCAGAUAUCAGGAGGAACACCAACGGCGAAGGCAGCUCGCUGGGACGGUACUGACGCUAAGGCGCGAAAGCGUGGGGAGCGAACAGG
RNAcentral lists this ribosomal RNA (253 nucleotides) under uncultured bacterium. RNAcentral describes it as "partial 16S ribosomal RNA". It matches the Rfam family "Bacterial small subunit ribosomal RNA", at positions 524 to 776 of the family's 1533-position model. The record is from RNAcentral.